UAAGGAAUAUUGGUCAAUGGACGCAAGUCUGGACCAGCCAUGCCGCGUGAAGGAUGAAGGUCCUCUGGAUUGUAAACUUCUUUUAUCUGGGACGAAAACGGGAUUUUUAUCUCAAUUGACGGUACCAGAGGAAUAAGCACCGGCUAACUCCGUGCCAGCAGCCGCGGUAAUACGGAGGGUGCGAGCGUUAUCCGGAUUUACUGGGUUUAAAGGGUGCGUAGGUGGGCUUAUAAGUCAGUGGUGAAAUCUCCGAGCUUAACUUGGAAACUGCCGUUGAUACUAUAGGUCUUGAAUUAUCUGGAGGUAAGCGGAAUAUGUCAUGUAGCGGUGAAAUGCUUAGAUAUGACAUAGAACACCAAUUGCGAAGGCAGCUUACUACAUAUAAAUUGACGCUGAGGCACGAAAGCGUGGGGAUCAAACA
RNAcentral lists this ribosomal RNA (421 nucleotides) under uncultured bacterium. RNAcentral describes it as "bacterial SSU rRNA". It matches the Rfam family "Bacterial small subunit ribosomal RNA", at positions 355 to 774 of the family's 1533-position model. The record is from RNAcentral.